AUUUGGCUUGCUGAUUUAUCACUAUAAAUAAGAGUACUCGAAGAAACACAUAAUCAUCUCCAACAUGAAGAAGGCCUUUCUCCUGAUUUGCAUUCUUUUGGCUACCAUUUCCCUUUCCCCUUCUCUCACUUCAGCUAGGGAAUUAGCUGCUAUUGGGAAAGAUGCAGGAAUACCAAUAAGGUGGAAGUGGCCAGGUAAGCCAUUUGGAUGCCUUGUGAAGAAAAAUUGUCUGCCUCCAAUCCCUCCCAUAAAAAGAUUCCCUCCCAGAAGAAGAAUCUAUGCCCCACCUCCCCCCCGUUGAGUUCCUUACAGAAAUAAGGGUUGUGAUUCUCAUAUUACGAACCCUUGAAAAUAUAUAUAUAUAUAGACGAAGUCAUCUUCAUUUUAUACAUAAUAAUAAAUAAAUAAAAACAAAUGUUAUGGCCAAUCAAAUAUGGUUUGGUUCACUUAUAUGAGGAGUGAGAAGUUUUAAGUUCGAGUCAUUUUGGCUACAAGUGUUUUUAUUAUUUUAAUGAGUCAAGGGGAGGGUUACCCCUAUUGUGUAGCCCACAGUGUUAUUUUAGUCUAUUGUCAACUAUACGUCAAGACUUAUAUAUGUAUGCAGAUGUUAUCUUAGAACA
Molecule: non-coding RNA, 620 nt
Organism: Jatropha curcas
Lineage: Eukaryota; Viridiplantae; Streptophyta; Magnoliopsida; Malpighiales; Euphorbiaceae
Source: RefSeq, a predicted model, not a curated record